AUUGAUCCGUCGUUAUAUAUUUUGUAUGAUACAAUCAUGGAGAAAAAGGUCGUCGGAGUCUAGUAUCCAAAGUACUAAGUUUACAGUAUUCAUACGAGAACAUUACUCAAAACAAGGUGGUUGUAACCAUUUGACCAGAAAGGAUGGAACGUCCGAAGACCAGUAAACGAUCUGUUCCACUUAUACUGUUGAUUUUAUCACUAACCACACUGUCUUUUGGUCAAUCAACAAAUAGUAACCAUGCUCCUGGUACUCCAAUAAUCACUGGGCGGAAUUUGACAUUUCAAGGAAACGAAGGAUCAUUGACGUGUACAUCGAUAGGUGGUAACCCUGAACCAACAGUUAAAUGGUUCCGUAAAGACGCUAUGAUAGAUGAUAUAUUGGACACACCAACAGUAUCAAACAUAACAAGAAACACAUAUAACUAUACUGCUGAUAUAAGUUACCACCUGGCUGUGUUUGAAUGUCGGGUUGAGAACACUGUUUUAGAGAGCUAUUUGAGUGCAACAAUCUUCUUACAAG
Molecule: long non-coding RNA, 522 nt
Organism: Mytilus californianus (California mussel)
Lineage: Eukaryota; Metazoa; Mollusca; Bivalvia; Mytilida; Mytilidae
Exons: 4
Source: RefSeq, a predicted model, not a curated record